Long non-coding RNA from Panicum virgatum (switchgrass), 658 nucleotides. RefSeq lists it as uncharacterized. The record is from RefSeq and is a predicted model, not a curated record. Lineage: Eukaryota; Viridiplantae; Streptophyta; Magnoliopsida; Poales; Poaceae. The transcript has 2 exons.
GCCACGGGUGGCGUGGCGAGGAGAUGGCCGGCUUCGACAGCGAACAGCCGCGUGCCCGAAACGGCCGCUGGUGCCGCACAAGCGCCCGCGCUAAGGCUCGGGAGGCCAAAAACAAGUACAAUAUGGCUAUGCAGCAACUCAAUGAAGCCCAGGAAGCGAACAAGGAAAUGGCCAUUAAGCUUGCUUGUGCCGAAUCGAAGGCAGCUCAGUUGGAAGCCUCCCUCAGAAAAGAAGAAGCAACAGUAGCCAAGCUAAAAGCAGAGAAGCAAGUGCUUAUUGCAGAAAUUGAUCUCGCGGAAGAAGAGAAAGCAGGACUUGAAGUUCAACUCGAAGAAGCGGAAGAAAAAAAGCAGUACUUAGAAAUGCACUGAUAGAUGCGAAAUUGGAGUUAGCUAAAAAGUAGGAUUAGCAUCCUUUUGGUUUGUGCAACUGAUGGAUGGUUGGAUGCUGAAUAUUCAGUAGGUUAUGCAUCCUUUUGGUUUGUGCAACUGAUGGAUGGUUGGAUGCUGAAUAAUCAGUAGGUUAUGCAUCCUUUUGGUUUGUGAGAUGUCUUGUAAUUGUGCAACCUGAUAAAAUGGACCAGUAGGUUGUGCAUCCUUUUAGUUUGUGAAUGUCUUGUAAUUGUGCAACCUGAUCAAAUGAACCUGUAGUGUGGAAC